GGUUAACGCUGGCGGCGUGCCUAACACAUGCAAGUCGAACGGUUCUAAGCGCGAGCUUAGGAUAGUGGCGAACGGGUGAGUAAAAGGUAGGAAUCUACCCCUUGGACGGAGAUAGCUACUGGAAACGGUAGGUAAACUUCGAUAAGCCCGAGAGGGGAAAGUGGUGAGACAGCCGAGGGAUGAGCCUACUCUCCAUCAGGUAGUUGGUGAGAUAAAAGCUUACCAAGCCGAUGACGGAUAACCGGUGUGAGAGCAUGAACGGUCACAAGGGCACUGAGAGACGGGCCCUACUCCUACGGGAGGCAGCAGUGGGGAAUCUUGGACAAUGGGCGAAAGCCUGAUCCAGCGACGCCGCGUGGAGGAAGAAGUCCUUCGGGAUGUAAACUUCUGAACUAGCCGAAUAAAAGGCCUGUGGACACACAGGAGAAGAAAGUAGGCUAGGAAAGUACCCGGCUAACUACGUGCCAGCAGCCGCGGUAAGAUAGCGUACU
RNAcentral lists this ribosomal RNA (491 nucleotides) under uncultured bacterium. RNAcentral describes it as "bacterial SSU rRNA". It matches the Rfam family "Bacterial small subunit ribosomal RNA", at positions 28 to 536 of the family's 1533-position model. The record is from RNAcentral.